AUGCGCUGGACCUCCUUGCGGCCUACACUCUCGUUCCUCUUCGGCAACUUGUCCAAGUCCGAGCUCGCGGGCAUCACCGAGAAUACCAAGUUCGGCUAUGGCGUCGUCGUCAUCUCCAUAGUCGACGCACCCCUCAGGUUUGGGGUCUCCGCCAGGGGCACGCAGGACUAUAGGAAGGCCGACACCAAUGCUCUGGUGGUGCUCCACCAGUCUAACACUGGUGAGUACCUUUGCAAGGAGGAGGAGCUCAUCGAACCUGGAGUGCGGCUUGAUCCAAUGGCUCGAUUGGAGCACUCAAUUGUGAUGAAGCUGUAA
This 315-nucleotide ribosomal RNA is filed under the name Triticum aestivum (bread wheat). RNAcentral describes it as "partial small subunit ribosomal RNA". The record is from RNAcentral. Lineage: Eukaryota; Viridiplantae; Streptophyta; Magnoliopsida; Poales; Poaceae.